CCCUGGGUGGUGUAAACAGGUAACAUACUCAGCUGUUAACUGAAAGGUUGGAGGUUAGAGCCCUCCCAGAGGUG
This 74-nucleotide transfer RNA is filed under the name Loxodonta africana (African savanna elephant). It matches the Rfam family "tRNA". Rfam says of the family: Transfer RNA (tRNA) molecules are approximately 80 nucleotides in length. Their secondary structure includes four short double-helical elements and three loops (D, anti-codon, and T loops). Lineage: Eukaryota; Metazoa; Chordata; Mammalia; Proboscidea; Elephantidae. The record is from Rfam by way of RNAcentral.